RNAcentral lists this ribosomal RNA (425 nucleotides) under uncultured bacterium. Its description in RNAcentral is "partial 16S ribosomal RNA". It matches the Rfam family "Bacterial small subunit ribosomal RNA", at positions 354 to 796 of the family's 1533-position model. The record is from RNAcentral.
GUGGGGAAUAUUGGGCAAUGGGCGAAAGCCUGACCCAGCAACGCCGCGUGAAGGAAGAAGGUUUUCGGAUCGUAAACUUCUAUCCUUGGUGAAGAUAAUGACAGUAGCCAAGAAGGAAGCCCCGGCUAACUACGUGCCAGCAGCCGCGGUAAUACGUAGGGGGCAAGCGUUGUCCGGAAUGAUUGGGCGUAAAGGGCGCGUAGGCGGCCCGGUAAGUCUGAAGUGAAAGUCCUGCUUUUAAGGUGGGAAUUGCUUUGGAUACUGUCGGGCUUGAGUGCAGGAGAGGUAAGCGGAAUUCCCGGUGUAGCGGUGAAAUGCGUAGAGAUCGGGAGGAACACCAGUGGCGAAGGCGGCUUACUGGACUGUAACUGACGCUGAGGCGCGAAAGUGUGGGGAGCAAACAGGAUUAGAUACCCUGGUAGUCC